AGAGCGAACGCUGGCGGCAGGCCUAACACAUGCAAGUCGAGCGCCCGUAGCAAUACGGGAGCGGCAGACGGGAUAGUAACACGUGGGAACGCGCCCUUCGGUUCGGAAUAACUCAGGGAAACUUGAGCUAAUACCGGAUACGCCCUUACGGGGAAGAUUUAUUGCCGAAGGAACGGCCCGCGUCCGAUUAGCUAGUUGGUGAGGUAAUGGCUCACCAAGGCGACGAUCGGUAGCUGGUCUGAGAGGAUGACCAGCAUCACUGGGACUGAGACACGGCCCAGACUCCUACGGGAGGCAGCAGUGGGGAAUAUUGGACAAUGGGCGCAAGCCUGAUCCAGCCAUGCCGCGUGGAUGAUGAAGGCCUUAGGGUUGUAAAGUCCUUUUAACGGGGAAGAUAAUGACGGUACCCGUAGAAUAAGCCCCGGCUAACUUCGUGCCAGCAGCCGC
This 447-nucleotide ribosomal RNA is filed under the name uncultured bacterium. RNAcentral describes it as "SSU rRNA". It matches the Rfam family "Bacterial small subunit ribosomal RNA", at positions 26 to 518 of the family's 1533-position model. The record is from RNAcentral.